Molecule: long non-coding RNA, 306 nt
Filed under: Androctonus crassicauda
Lineage: Eukaryota; Metazoa; Arthropoda; Arachnida; Scorpiones; Buthidae
Source: RNAcentral
GUCGGAUUGUUUUUUCAUGGUCCCGGUGUGUUUCCAUGUUGCUAGGGUGGGCUCGGUCUGCUAAGGCUGUGGUUGUUUUGCCUAGUUUUAUGGCAUUCUUGUGCUCUGUGAGUCUCUGUCGUGGCGUCCUGCGUGUUGCCCCUGUGUGCGAUGCAUUCGUGUUUUCGGGUGGGGGCGUCACUGGUGAUUCAUGCACUCCCGGUCUUUCGCUGUCUUUUUUCGGGUCCUUCUCAUUUCUUAUCGCAUUGAGGAGGGUGGGAGGUCUCUUUGUGGUUGUUCUUCUGUCUGUCUUUUCUGUCGUUCUCU